Molecule: transfer RNA, 76 nt
Filed under: Methanobacteriota archaeon
Lineage: Archaea; Methanobacteriati; Methanobacteriota
Description: Euryarchaeota archaeon (marine metagenome) tRNA-Thr
Rfam family: tRNA
About the family: Transfer RNA (tRNA) molecules are approximately 80 nucleotides in length.
Source: RNAcentral
GCCACUGUGGCUUAGCUGGUAGAGCACCUGAUUCGUAAUCAGGCGGCCGGGAGUUCGAAUCUCCCCAGUGGCUCCA